CGUGCUAAUCUGCGAUAAGCGCCGGUAAGGUGAUAUGAACCGUUAUAACCGGCGAUACCCGAAUGGGGAAACCCAGUGUGAUUCGUCACACUAUCAUUAACUGAAUCCAUAGGUUAAUGAGGCGAACCGGGGGAACUGAAACAUCUAAGUACCCCGAGGAAAAGAAAUCAACCGAGAUUCCCCCAGUAGCGGCGAGCGAACGGGGAGGAGCCCAGAGCCUGAAUCAGCAUGUGUGUUAGUGGAAGCGUCUGGAAAGGCGCGCGAUACAGGGUGACAGCCCCGUACACAAAAGCGCAUGUGCUGUGAGCUCGAUGAGUAGGGCGGGACACGUGGUAUCCUGUCUGAAUAUGGGGGGACCAUCCUCCAAGGCUAAAUACUCCUGACUGACCGAUAGUGAACCAGUACCGUGAGGGAAAGGCGAAAAGAACCCCGGCGAGGGGAGUGAAAAAGAACCUGAAACCGUGUACGUACAAGCAGUGGGAGCACAGGUUUACCUGUGUGACUGCGUACCUUUUGUAUAAUGGGUCAGCGACUUAU
RNAcentral lists this ribosomal RNA (537 nucleotides) under Salmonella enterica subsp. enterica serovar Derby. RNAcentral's name for it is "partial 23S ribosomal RNA". It matches the Rfam family "Bacterial large subunit ribosomal RNA", at positions 57 to 631 of the family's 2925-position model. Lineage: Bacteria; Pseudomonadati; Pseudomonadota; Gammaproteobacteria; Enterobacterales; Enterobacteriaceae. The record is from RNAcentral. RNAcentral also lists the same sequence under 1 other name.